Molecule: ribosomal RNA, 670 nt
Filed under: uncultured fungus
Lineage: Eukaryota; Fungi
Description: eukaryotic LSU rRNA
Rfam family: Eukaryotic large subunit ribosomal RNA
Source: RNAcentral
CGCGCUGAACUAAAGCAUAUCAUUAAGCGGAGAGACAAGAAACUAACAAGGAUCUCUCCUUAGUAACUGCGAGUGAAGCAGGGAAGAGCUGCAGAUUUAAAAUCUGCGCAGUGUCUUGCUGUCCGAGUUGUAAUCUAGAGAAGUGCUGCCCGGGCUGAUACCAUGUACAAGUCUCCUGGAAUGGAGCGUCACAGAGGGUGAGAAUCCCGUCUUUGACAUGGACUACCAGUGCAUUUGUGGUGUGCUCUCACAGAGUCGAGUUGUUUGGGAAUGCAGCUCUAAAUGGGUGGUAAAUUUCAUCUAAAGCUAAAUAUUGGCCAGAGACCGAUAGCGCACAAGUAGAGUGAUCGAAAGAUGAAAAGCACUUUGGAAAGAGAGUUAAACAGUACGUGAAAUUGUUGAAAGGGAAGCGCUUGCAACCAGACUUGCACGUAGUUAAUCAUCCGGGGUUCUCCCCGGUGCACUUGGCUACGUUCAGGCCAGCAUCGGUUUUGGUGGUUGGAUAAAGGCCUAGGGAAUGUGGCAUCCUUUUGGAUGUGUUAUAGCCCAUUGUCGCAUACGGUGGUUGGGAUUGAGGAACUCAGCAUGCCACAAGGCCGGGUCUUUUUUGACCACGCUCAUGCUUAGGAUGCUGGCAUAAUGGCUUUAAUCGACCCGUCUUGAAACACGG